This 345-nucleotide long non-coding RNA is filed under the name Fukomys damarensis (Damara mole-rat). RNAcentral describes it as "lncRNA (ENSFDAG00000026450.1)". The record is from RNAcentral. Lineage: Eukaryota; Metazoa; Chordata; Mammalia; Rodentia; Bathyergidae.
GUUUUUUUUGCUUUAAAAGGCUGAUGCUUGCCGGCAAUAAACGUCGCCUUGAUCAGACUCUUGUCUUGGCGUCCUUCCUUUCUCUCUGCCCCAUCUCCACCCCGCUGCUCUUUCAAGUUUGAGGCACUGCUGGACAGUGCUCUGCGUCACCGGCUCGUGACACCCGCUAUUUCCGGCCUUUCUCCUUUUCAGGCUAUGAGUAACUGUCAUAAUACCAACUAUACAGCUUUUGCUACUUCUUUGAAGAACAAUGGAGAAAGGCUUGCUACAUAUCAACACCAGACGGAAAGCAAAUUUAAAAUGCUCUGCAUAAUGUUACAUUGCCCAUUUUUAAUUAACCCCACG